GAUGAAGAACGCAGCGAAAUGCGAUAAGUAAUGUGAAUUGCAGAAUUCAGUGAAUCAUCGAAUCUUUGAACGCACAUUGCGCCCGCCGGUAUUCCGGCGGGCAUGCCUGUUCGAGCGUCAUUUCAACCACCAAGCCCUGGGCUUGUGUUGGGGACCUGCGGCUGCCGCAGGCCCUGAAAUGCAGUGGCGGGCUCGCAAGACACACCGAGCGUAGUAGCUUACAACCUCGCUUUGGGAGUGCUGCGGGUGCUGGCCGUAAAGCGACCUUUGCGUCUUUAGCACUAGGUUGACCUCGGAUCAGGUAGGAGGACCCGCUGAACUUAAGCAUAUCAAUAAGCGGAGGA
Molecule: unclassified non-coding RNA, 344 nt
Filed under: soil metagenome
Description: partial contains 5.8S ribosomal RNA, internal transcribed spacer 2, and large subunit ribosomal RNA
Rfam family: 5.8S ribosomal RNA (bases 1-120)
Source: RNAcentral